UGCCAGCCGCCGCGGUAAUACGUGGGGUGCAAACGUUGCUCGGAAUCAUUGGGCGUAAAGCGCACGUAGGCGGUCUUUUAAGUCGGAUGUGAAAGCCCUGGGCUCAACCCAGGAAGUGCAUCCGAAACUGACUGACUAGAAUCUCAAAGAGGGCUGCGGAAUUCCCGGUGUAGAGGUGAAAUUCGUAGAUAUCGGGAGGAAUACCGGUGGCGAAGGCGACCACCUGGCCAAAUACUGACGCUGAUGAACGAAAGCUAGGGUAUCAAACGGGAUUAGAUA
RNAcentral lists this ribosomal RNA (279 nucleotides) under uncultured bacterium. RNAcentral describes it as "partial 16S ribosomal RNA". It matches the Rfam family "Bacterial small subunit ribosomal RNA", at positions 506 to 784 of the family's 1533-position model. The record is from RNAcentral.